RNAcentral lists this ribosomal RNA (600 nucleotides) under Bacillus sp. CH78_3T. Its description in RNAcentral is "bacterial SSU rRNA". It matches the Rfam family "Bacterial small subunit ribosomal RNA", at positions 49 to 632 of the family's 1533-position model. RNAcentral also lists the same sequence under 1 other name. Lineage: Bacteria; Bacillati; Bacillota; Bacilli; Caryophanales; Bacillaceae. The record is from RNAcentral.
CUAUACAUGCAGUCGAGCGGACCUUUUAAAGCUUGCUUUUGAAAGGUCAGCGGCGGACGGGUGAGUAACACGUGGGCAACCUGCCUGUAAGACUGGGAUAACUUCGGGAAACCGGAGCUAAUACCGGAUAAUAUAAGGAACCUCCUGGUUCUUUAUUGAAAGAUGGUUUCGGCUAUCACUUACAGAUGGGCCCGCGGCGCAUUAGCUAGUUGGUGAGGUAAUGGCUCACCAAGGCGACGAUGCGUAGCCGACCUGAGAGGGUGAUCGGCCACACUGGGACUGAGACACGGCCCAGACUCCUACGGGAGGCAGCAGUAGGGAAUCUUCCACAAUGGACGAAAGUCUGAUGGAGCAACGCCGCGUGAGCGAUGAAGGCCUUCGGGUCGUAAAGCUCUGUUGUUAGGGAAGAACAAGUGCGAGAGUAACUGCUCGCACCUUGACGGUACCUAACCAGAAAGCCACGGCUAACUACGUGCCAGCAGCCGCGGUAAUACGUAGGUGGCAAGCGUUGUCCGGAAUUAUUGGGCGUAAAGCGCGCGCAGGUGGUCCUUUAAGUCUGAUGUGAAAGCCCACGGCUCAACCGUGGAGGGUCAUUGGAAA